This 465-nucleotide ribosomal RNA is filed under the name uncultured bacterium. Its description in RNAcentral is "partial 16S ribosomal RNA". It matches the Rfam family "Bacterial small subunit ribosomal RNA", at positions 28 to 507 of the family's 1533-position model. The record is from RNAcentral.
GACGGACGCUGGCGGCGUGCUUAACACAUGCAAGUCGAACGGAAAGGCCCCUUCGGGGGUACUCGAGUGGCGAACAGGUGAGUAACACGUGAGUAACCUGCCCUUGACUUCGGGAUAACUUCAGGAAACUGGGGCUAAUACCGGAUAGGAAUCCUUGCUGCAUGGUGGGGGUUGGAAAGCUUCGGCGGUUUUGGAUGGACUCGCGGCUUAUCAGCUUGUUGGUGGGGUAGUGGCUUACCAAGGCUUUGACGGGUAGCCGGCCUGAGAGGGCGACCGGCCACAUUGGGACUGAGAUACGGCCCAGACGCCUACGGGAGGCAGCAGGGGGGAAUAUUGCACAAUGGGCGGAAGCCGGAUGCAGCAACGCCGCGUGCGGGAGGACGGCCUUCGGGUUGGAAACCGCUUUCAGCAGGGGCGAAGCUUGUGGUGACGGUACCUGCAGAAGAAGCACCGGCUAACUACGUG